UACAGUAAAGGGUAAACCUGCUGAAAGGCAGGGACACAAAGUCUCAGGUCUAAGGUAGAAAUACUAUGAUGGCUGGACUGCCUGG
RNAcentral lists this non-coding RNA (85 nucleotides) under Paenibacillus wynnii. Its description in RNAcentral is "c-di-GMP sequence". It matches the Rfam family "c-di-GMP-I riboswitch aptamer". From Rfam's summary of the family: GEMM was predicted in a large-scale screen for bacterial structured RNA regulatory elements. Genes associated with GEMM are involved in a diverse array of functions, including chemotaxis regulation, signal transduction, secretion and chitin. The record is from Rfam by way of RNAcentral. Lineage: Bacteria; Bacillati; Bacillota; Bacilli; Caryophanales; Paenibacillaceae.